RNAcentral lists this ribosomal RNA (846 nucleotides) under Klebsiella pneumoniae. RNAcentral's name for it is "partial 23S ribosomal RNA". It matches the Rfam family "Bacterial large subunit ribosomal RNA", at positions 419 to 1267 of the family's 2925-position model. The record is from RNAcentral. Lineage: Bacteria; Pseudomonadati; Pseudomonadota; Gammaproteobacteria; Enterobacterales; Enterobacteriaceae.
GGGACACGUGGUAUCCUGUCUGAAUAUGGGGGGACCAUCCUCCAAGGCUAAAUACUCCUGACUGACCGAUAGUGAACCAGUACCGUGAGGGAAAGGCGAAAAGAACCCCGGCGAGGGGAGUGAAAAAGAACCUGAAACCGUGUACGUACAAGCAGUGGGAGCACCUUCGGGUGUGACUGCGUACCUUUUGUAUAAUGGGUCAGCGACUUAUAUUCUGUAGCAAGGUUAACCGUAUAGGGGAGCCGCAGGGAAACCGAGUCUUAACUGGGCGUUAAGUUGCAGGGUAUAGACCCGAAACCCGGUGAUCUAGCCAUGGGCAGGUUGAAGGUUGGGUAACACUAACUGGAGGACCGAACCGACUAAUGUUGAAAAAUUAGCGGAUGACUUGUGGCUGGGGGUGAAAGGCCAAUCAAACCGGGAGAUAGCUGGUUCUCCCCGAAAGCUAUUUAGGUAGCGCCUCGUGAACUCAUCUUCGGGGGUAGAGCACUGUUUCGGCUAGGGGGUCAUCCCGACUUACCAACCCGAUGCAAACUACGAAUACCGAAGAAUGUUAUCACGGGAGACACACGGCGGGUGCUAACGUCCGUCGUGAAGAGGGAAACAACCCAGACCGCCAGCUAAGGUCCCAAAGUCAUGGUUAAGUGGGAAACGAUGUGGGAAGGCACAGACAGCCAGGAUGUUGGCUUAGAAGCAGCCAUCAUUUAAAGAAAGCGUAAUAGCUCACUGGUCGAGUCGGCCUGCGCGGAAGAUGUAACGGGGCUAAACCAUGCACCGAAGCUGCGGCAGCGACACUAUGUGUUGUUGGGUAGGGGAGCGUUCUGUAAGCCUGCGAAGGUGUGCUGUGAG